Molecule: ribosomal RNA, 397 nt
Filed under: Apedinella sp.
Lineage: Eukaryota; Dictyochophyceae; Pedinellales
Description: partial small subunit ribosomal RNA
Rfam family: Eukaryotic small subunit ribosomal RNA
Source: RNAcentral
AUUCCAGCUCCAAUAGCGUAUAUUAAUGUUGUUGCAGUUAAAAAGCUCGUAGUUGGAUUCUGGGUUCUUCGCUAGCUUUGGUCCGCAAGGGCUUCAGUGGGCUGUUUGAAUCCAUCCUCAGGGGGACCCAUGCUGGUAUUCAUUUAUCGGUGUGGGAACGCCUGUCGUUUACUGUGAACAAAUUAGAGUGUUCAAAGCAAGGUGUACUUGAAUACAUUAGCAUGGAAUAAUAAGAUAGGACUUUGGUGGUUCUUUUUGAUAUUUUGUUGGUUUGCACGCCAAAGUAAUGAUUAAUAGGAGCAGUUGGGGGUAUUCGUAUUCAAUUGUCAGAGGUGAAAUUCUUGGAUUUAUAGAAGACGAACUACUGCGAAAGCAUUUACCAAGGAUGUUUUCAUUA